UCAACUGAAUGACCUCUGAUUUUGUCUGCUGACCAACCUUGUUGAUGUUGCUGGAUAACACCUUGUGAAUUUAGACUGCUUUUGGGGUUUUGAAGAUUGAAGCUACAAGUCAAGAUGCAAGUUUAGAAGAUGCACAAGCUAUUAUUAUUUUGCUAAAAAUGUUAUGCAAAACUUGAUAUCAUAGUCUACCUCAGGAUGUUAGCUACAUUUUUUUUGUUGAGGUGUUGAGAAAACAUAGAAAGUAACAUCAUCAUGGGAUAUGAACUUGAUAUAUUAUCUUUUUAUAUCUGGAUUUUUCAAUACCAAUUUGAUAUUUAUUGAUAAAAAUUACUUU
This is a long non-coding RNA of Nicotiana attenuata, 334 nucleotides long. RefSeq lists it as uncharacterized. The transcript is spliced from 3 exons. NCBI's taxonomy places the organism in Eukaryota, Viridiplantae, Streptophyta, Magnoliopsida, Solanales, Solanaceae. The record is from RefSeq and is a predicted model, not a curated record.